UGUCUGUCUGUCUGUCUGUCUGUCUGUCUGUCUGUCUGUGGAAUCUACUGCAAAUGCUUGGUUGGUUAUCUCUGGCUCCAAUUAAAGGGUGUCUAUAGGGAAGAUUAUGAGGUCCAGAAGACUGUCCUUGAACAUGGAGACAAGAAGUCUGUUUGAUGUGGUUUGAUAAUGCAACUUCAUCAGAAUGGAGGCUGGCCAAUCAUGAUGGAGUCAUUCAAGACUUUAGAAUGGAUUUACCAUCCAUCUUCCCUGUUUACACAGUCAUGAAGAUGUGCAGUGUGCCAUGCCA
This is a long non-coding RNA of Xyrauchen texanus (razorback sucker), 289 nucleotides long. RefSeq lists it as uncharacterized. The record is from RefSeq and is a predicted model, not a curated record. The transcript is spliced from 3 exons. Lineage: Eukaryota; Metazoa; Chordata; Actinopteri; Cypriniformes; Catostomidae.